AGCAGCCGCGGUAAUUCCAGCUCCAAUAGCGUAUAUUAAAGUUGUUGCAGUUAAAAAGCUCGUAGUUGAAUUUCGGGGUCGGUAGAUUGGUCAUGCCUCUGGUAUGCACUGGUCUUACUGGCUCCUCCUUCCUGAUGAGCCGUAAUGCCAUUAAUUUGGUGUUGCGGGGAAUCUGGACUGUUACUUUGAAAAAUUAGAGUGUUUAAAGCAGGCUAACGCUUGAAUACAUUAGCAUGGAAUAAUGGAAUAGGACGUUCGAUCCUAUUUUGUUGGUUUCUAGGAUUGACGUAAUGAUUAAUAGGGAUAGUUGGGGGCAUUAGUAUUCAAUUGUCAGAGGUGAAAUUCUUGGAUUUAUUGAAGACUAACUACUGCGAAA
Molecule: ribosomal RNA, 376 nt
Filed under: uncultured Glomeromycotina
Lineage: Eukaryota; Fungi; Glomeromycota
Description: SSU rRNA
Rfam family: Eukaryotic small subunit ribosomal RNA
Source: RNAcentral